This 2999-nucleotide long non-coding RNA is filed under the name Sus scrofa (pig). RNAcentral's name for it is "lncRNA (ENSSSCG00035032105.1)". The record is from RNAcentral. Lineage: Eukaryota; Metazoa; Chordata; Mammalia; Artiodactyla; Suidae.
GCGGGUUCCCUGGCCAUGCCCAGCGGGCCGAGGGAAAGGCUCCGACGGGGCUGCCCGGGUCCUGGCGCACGUCUGCGGACCGACCCUGGGCAUGAAAAGGUCACAGCCGCCAGGGCUGCGUCUCCGACGGUGGCCACCCUAGGUGUGCCGAUCCCGAGAAGCCGGGACCCCGGGUAACCGGCUGCUCAGCGAAGCCUGCCCCCUCCUCGAGUCCGACGGCAGGGCUUCCCGGUCCUGGGAACCCUGUCUGGGCGCUGCUGACCCAUCUCUCUUGUCGGAUGUCAGAGGGGCUAAUGUGGUUUCCAAAACUGGGAGAGAGGACGAAAGGAAGAGCCUGCGCUCUGUACUUGCUUCAAGGAGACGCAAGAAUCAGAGAACUGGCCCCCGCCCAAGACUGUAAGUGAUGGUCCAAGGAUGGGGUGUACCUGUGGGAACUUUGUGUUGCCUGAAGAGGACCCUGGUUUCAGGACUGGGGUCACACAGUACAGGUGCCCUGGCUGAUGGGCGCAGCCUCACCAGGAACUGCCAAGGUGGUCAUACCCCAAGAGGCCUUCAGGUGUGGUUGGUAGCGAAGGAGGGGCCUCUUUGCCUCAGGUGGAACAGCUUUGCAGUGGCAGUCAUGCUCUGUGGCUGCCCGUGGGAUCAGGCUGAGUUUUCUCUGUCCUCCAGAAAUCUUUAUGAGUAGCUGCUCAAAAGGAUGGGAAGCACUUGGCGUAAUAGUCCUAAGAAAAUCAUCCUGUCUCAACCAGAGCUUGAUCUUCUGCCUGCUGCUCUCAGGCUUGAUCAUGAGACUUGCUUUGGCCAACAACCUGCGAGUGGAGGUGAUAUUUGCUGUUUCUGGGCAGAAGCUCUAAGAGCUAGCCCAUAGUUCUCCACGUCCUCUCCCUGAAUCUGUCUUUGUUAGGAUGUCAGCUUGGGUUCUCAGUGAUUCAAAGCUGGUUGUUGACCCAGGAUGGAUGUGCACGAUUUUUAUUGUAUUCUUGCACAGAGAGUACAAGAGCAAUAUCAAGAAACACACAGCUCUAAGAUUCAUAAGUUGAACUCCAGCCCCCAGCCUGGCCGCGUUUGGAGAUGGGAAUUCUUAGGAAGUUAAGUGAGCUCUAAGGGUGGGGUCCCCGCCUCAUAGGAAUAGUGUCUUCUACGAGGAGACACCAGAGGGCGCUCUCGAUGCUCCCACUCCGAGGAAAGGCGAGGGGAGGACCCAGCGAGAAGGUGACCGGCGGCCUGCAAGGGGAAAGAGCCCUCAUCAGGAAUUGCAUCAGCCAGCACCUUGAUCUUGGACUUCUAGCCUUCAGAACUAUGAGGAAAUGAAUUUCUGCUGUUUAUGUCACUCGAUCUACAGUAUUUUGUCAUAACAGCCCAAAAUGCAAUUCAUACAAAAGGAAGUAUUUCAGAGAAGACUAUCAUGACUUUUUUUUGGCCAAGCCUGUGGAAGUUCCUUGGCCAGCAGUAGCCCUGUGAUCAGUGACAAAGCCAAGUCCUUAACCUCUAGGGCACCAGGGUUUAUGGUGAAACUGGAGCAGUGAAUUCUGGUGGAAUUACUUGGGAAUACAGGCAUAUGCAUGACAGUCUGGGGAAGCCAUGUUUGUGUUGUUCGAGGUGAAGAAUUAUCAUCAAUAUGCUGCUUACAUCAUAGGCUGUCCAGUGAAGAUGAAGUUUCCAACAAGGGCCUAGAAGCUCAUGAGCAUAAAGUGCUGGUGCCCUCUCAGGAAGGCUGUGAGCUGGAAGUCACUGCCAGAGAUCGAAUCCACAACCUCAUGGUUCCUAGUCAAAUUCAUUUCUGCUGCGCCAUGACCGGAACUCCGGAUUCUGUGUUUUUAAUGAAUGCACCUGAGGAAUUUUUAUGAUGGUAAGUUUGGUAAACACUGCUUUAGUCCCGCCCAGGUUGGGAUCAGAAUUCUCUUACCCAAAAGGCUGGGCAAGAUUGAGAAGCAGGGCUUCUGGUUUCAGAGGGACAUACAAGCAGUCUGUUAGGAGGCAUCCUGGAGCUAGGAUGCUGUCUGGGGGAGCGGGCUGCCACUUCCUGGGUGCUGGAUUUAGAGGACUGAGGUGUUCACAGUGAGGCUCCGGUGCUCAUGGGAACCGAGGUGACCCUGAGGGAGAGAAUGGCAGUCACGCAUCCCAGCCACAGGUGAGGGCUCUUGACGCAAACGGAAGAUUUAGGCUGGGUAGGAUUCCUAUCUCAUGGCCCAGGGAGGCUGUGGGGAAAGGCCGCUCACUCGUGGGUCAACAGCAGGGGGCGUCUCUCCUGAAAAGGAUCUUGUUCUUGGAUGGUAACCACUGGGGUGAACAGACGGUCCUUAGGAAACCAGAGCUCACCACGGAGACUAGACAGGCAGCGAGGUAACCAGUGUGUUUCAAGCCUUUCUCGUUGGGGUCCAGAUGCGAAAGGAGCUGGUGUCCUUGAAGUUCACGGUCUUGAGUUCAUCAGGGUGGCGGUGGGUGUGCCCUGGGAUAGCUGUCCCUAAGAAGAAGGGAGGACCUGAGCCGGGUGGCGCCGAGGAGCCCCUUCCCGAGGAGCCCCUUCCCACCCGGGAGCCCGCCGCCCUGGAGGGUGCCCUUGGGGUGGAUCUUCCUCAGGUGAGACCAGAGCAGGCAGGUCGAGGUGGGCGUGAGAUGUAAGGGAAUGAUUGGUUGUUUGAUCGGCCCAGAGUGGGACUUAUUGGACCGAGAGGUAAUGCUUUUGGCUCUGAUGGUUCCUAGAAACGGAAUGUUUGUGGCCCCACCGGCCCCCUAUUCAUAGUUUGAAACCUAAUCCCCAAUGUGAAGGUGUUUGGAGGCCCUGGGAGGCGAUUAGGGCAUCAGGGUGGGGCCGAUGCGGAUGGAUUCGUGCCCUUGUAAGCGGAGGAAGAGUCGGAGUUCUCCCAUCGCUGCCUGAGGACGAGGCAAGAACACGGGCUCUGGGAACAGUGAGCUGGCCCUCACCAGACUCAGAAUCUGCUUGAUCCUGGACUUUCCAGCCUCUAGGACUGUGAGAAAUAAAUGUCUGCUGUUUAUAA